This 702-nucleotide ribosomal RNA is filed under the name Triticum aestivum (bread wheat). RNAcentral's name for it is "partial small subunit ribosomal RNA". Lineage: Eukaryota; Viridiplantae; Streptophyta; Magnoliopsida; Poales; Poaceae. The record is from RNAcentral.
AUGUACUCUGAAACCUCCACCGAUGGGCUGAACGAGGUGCCUUUGUCACUUGAGGACCCGGAUUACAAGGGCCUUGAGCUAGAUCUGAUGGCGUUCUGCGAGAAGCAUGGGAAGCCAUCAGAGAGGCUUGUUGCGUUUGAAGGAACAAUGACUGGGAGAAGUGUUGCUCAAUUUCAGUUCAGUGCAGCCAUAGGUUGUCUCAAUGGUAGGAGUAAUGCACAUGGCUGCUUAGCAACUGCUAAGUUGAAUGGAGUGUUACUCUUCUGCCUGGAAGGUCAGAAUUGUGGGUUUGUUCAAUGGGUUGAUGAGCAGUGGCCCCCAACAAUGGAGAAUGCAUUGUUGAAGCUUUGGUCAAUGGUUGAAGAGAGCAAGUGUGCUAGGGUGAAUGAUAAUCUUAAAAGUGCUUUAACUAUUUACCAGUUGACAGAAGAAAAGAACAAGCUGGAUGCAUACUAUGAUAAGUUGGUGAAAGAUGUGCAUCAACUUGUGGAUAUGCAGGAGGAUAGGGUUGUGGAUUUCAGUUAUCUGCAGUCCAACAUCACAUAUCAGCAGGAAUGCAGAGCUGAGUUGGUUGCUGGUAUGAAGGCAGAAAUGGCAAAGAAAGAUGCAGCUACAGAGAAGCUUCAACAGAGAUAUGAAAUCUUGUGCAACCUGACAAGUGCUCAAGCAACUGUCAUCCAAAACCUGAAGUUGAAGAUAUGA